This 300-nucleotide ribosomal RNA is filed under the name uncultured Alphaproteobacteria bacterium. RNAcentral's name for it is "bacterial SSU rRNA". It matches the Rfam family "Bacterial small subunit ribosomal RNA", at positions 114 to 432 of the family's 1533-position model. Lineage: Bacteria; Pseudomonadati; Pseudomonadota; Alphaproteobacteria. The record is from RNAcentral.
CGCGUGGGAACCUGCCUUUCACUGCGGGACAACGGUUGGAAACGACCGCUAAUACCGCAUACGCCCUACGGGGAAAGAUUUAUCGGUGAUAGAGGGGCCCGCGUCUGAUUAGCUUGUUGGUAGGGUAAUGGCCUACCAAGGCGACGAUCGGUAGCUGGUCUGAGAGGAUGAUCAGCCACACUGGGACUGAGACACGGCCCAGACUCCUACGGGAGGCAGCAGUGGGGAAUAUUGGACAAUGGGGGCAACCCUGAUCCAGCAAUGCCGCGUGUGUGAUGAAGGCCUUAGGGUUGUAAAGCA